RNAcentral lists this long non-coding RNA (469 nucleotides) under Hordeum vulgare. RNAcentral describes it as "long non-coding RNA (HVUL_LNC019438)". The record is from RNAcentral. Lineage: Eukaryota; Viridiplantae; Streptophyta; Magnoliopsida; Poales; Poaceae.
UCCCCUUCUUCUUCCCCACGCACGAGGGCGCCGCCGCCGCCGCCGCCACCUUCCUUGCAGAGUCUGCGACCAAAGGAGGAGGACCUUGAGGCCUUCUACCGCCGCUUCCUCAGGUCUAGGAUCCUCGCUCCCGCAUAUUCCCCACCCCCCGUCCUCUUCCGUCGCGGUGAAGACGACGAUGACAGUUAGCCGGCCGGCCAUGCUCGGUCUCAGAGCCACCAGGGUCGCGCGCCUCCCGUGCCCCUACCCCUCUCCGUGCUCCGCCGCCCAGGCGGCCUCCCUCUCGGGGCCCGCGCGUCGCGCCCCGCCCCUCGUCGUCGCCAGCCCCGCGCCGCGCCUCGCCCCUCGCCGUCUCGCUCCUCGCGUCCGCGCGGCCCGUUUCUGCCGCGUGGGGCUCGACCAUGCGCCCCUCCGGUGAACUCCCCAGGCCGGGCACCAGGGGUGAGUGUUAGGGCAGGCGCUGUCGCUC